This 253-nucleotide ribosomal RNA is filed under the name uncultured bacterium. RNAcentral's name for it is "partial 16S ribosomal RNA". It matches the Rfam family "Bacterial small subunit ribosomal RNA", at positions 524 to 776 of the family's 1533-position model. The record is from RNAcentral.
UACGUAGGGUGCGAGCGUUAAUCGGAAUUACUGGGCGUAAAGCGUGCGCAGGCGGUGAGCUGUGUCCGAUGUGAAAGCCCCGGGCUUAACCUGGGAAUGGCAUUGGAAACUGGCUCGCUGGAGUGUGGCAGAGGGGGGUGGAAUUCCGCGUGUAGCAGUGAAAUGCGUAGAGAUGCGGAGGAACACCGAUGGCGAAGGCAGCCCCCUGGGCUAACACUGACGCUGAGGCACGAAAGCGUGGGGAGCAAACAGG